This 387-nucleotide ribosomal RNA is filed under the name uncultured bacterium. Its description in RNAcentral is "bacterial SSU rRNA". It matches the Rfam family "Bacterial small subunit ribosomal RNA", at positions 28 to 416 of the family's 1533-position model. The record is from RNAcentral.
GACGAACGCUGGCGGCGUGCUUAACACAUGCAAGUCGAACGGUGACCCAGGGCUUGCCCUGGUGAUCAGUGGCGAACGGGUGAGUAACACGUGGGCAACCUGCCACUGACUUCGGGAUAACUCCUCGAAAGAGGAGCUAAUACCGGAUACGACCACUUCGGACAUCCGAUGGUGGUGGAAAGUUUUUCGGUCAGGGAUGGGCCCGCGGCCUAUCAGCUAGUUGGUGGGUAAUGGCCUACCAAGGCGACGACGGGUAGCCGGCCUGAGAGGGCGACCGGCCACACUGGGACUGAGACACGGCCCAGACUCCUACGGGAGGCAGCAGUGGGGAAUAUUGCGCAAUGGGCGAAAGCCUGACGCAGCGACGCCGCGUGAGGGAUGAAGGCC